GGUAGUCCACGCCGUAAACGAUGAGUGCUAAGUGUUGGAGGGUUUCCGCCCUUCAGUGCUGCAGUUAACGCAUUAAGCACUCCGCCUGGGGAGUACGGCCGCAAGGCUGAAACUCAAAGGAAUUGACGGGGGCCCGCACAAGCGGUGGAGCAUGUGGUUUAAUUCGAAGCAACGCGAAGAACCUUACCAGGUCUUGACAUCCUUUGACCACUCUAGAGAUAGAGCUUUCCCUUCGGGGACAAAGUGACAGGUGGUGCAUGGUUGUCGUCAGCUCGUGUCGUGAGAUGUUGGGUUAAGUCCCGCAACGAGCGCAACCCUUAUUGUUAGUUGCCAUCAUUCAGUUGGGCACUCUAGCGAGACUGCCGGUGACAAACCGGAGGAAGGUGGGGAUGACGUCAAAUCAUCAUGCCCCUUAUGACCUGGGCUACACACGUGCUACAAUGGACGGUACAAUGAGUCGCGAGACCGCGAGGUUUAGCUAAUCUCUUAAAGCCGUUCUCAGUUCGGAUUGUAGGCUGCAACUCGCCUACAUGAAGCCGGAAUCGCUAGUAAUCGUGGAUCAGCACGCCACGGUGAAUACGUUCCCGGGCCUUGUACACACCGCCCGUCACACCACGAGAGUUUGUAACACCCAAAGUCGGUGAGGUACCUAUGGACCAGCUACUAGCCAAGAU
Molecule: ribosomal RNA, 674 nt
Filed under: Vagococcus sp. A37
Lineage: Bacteria; Bacillati; Bacillota; Bacilli; Lactobacillales; Enterococcaceae
Description: bacterial SSU rRNA
Rfam family: Bacterial small subunit ribosomal RNA
Source: RNAcentral